GCAAGUCGAACGCGAAGGGACUUCGGUCCUGAGUAAAGUGGCGCACGGGUGAGUAACGCGUAGAUAACCUGUCUUUAUGUCUGGAAUAAUACGCCGAAAGGGGUACUAAUACCGGAUAUUUUUGCAUUGCAUAAGCAGUGUAAGCAAAGGUGGCCUCUGACAUAAGCUACUGCAUAAAGAGGGGUCUGCGUACCAUUAGCUAGUAGGUGGGGUAAAGGCCUACCUAGGCUACGAUGGUUAGCGGGUCUGAGAGGAUGAUCCGCCACACUGGCACUGGAACACGGGCCAGACUCCUACGGGAGGCAGCAGUGAGGAAUAUUGCGCAAUGGGGGCAACCCUGACGCAGCGACGCCGCGUGAGUGAAGGAAGGCCUUCGGGUCGUAAAGCUCUGUCAAAGGGAAAGAAGUGCAUGGCGGCUAAUACCUGCCAUGUUUGACGGUACCCUUAAAGGAAGCACCGGCUAACUCCGUGCCAGCCGCUGC
RNAcentral lists this ribosomal RNA (482 nucleotides) under uncultured bacterium. Its description in RNAcentral is "bacterial SSU rRNA". It matches the Rfam family "Bacterial small subunit ribosomal RNA", at positions 57 to 518 of the family's 1533-position model. The record is from RNAcentral.